GUUAAUGCCACUGUUCCUGCAGCUUUGUGCUUGUUUCCUUUUGGUCCUCAGAUCUCCUGGUGGAGGUUUUAGCAGGUGAUGAGGGUUUGGAUCAGAAGAUCAAGUUCCUCAGAGAGAACCACUUCCUUCAUAACCUCACCGUGUCCAGGGAAGGUCCCAGCUGGAGGCUGAUGACGGCUCUCCGACUGUUGUCCCUGCCACAAACACUAUAUCACCAGUGGAAGGCGGUGUUGCUCGGCCAGGGGGUGUGUGAAGAGAGAGAGGAGAGGAGCGUGCAGACAGCUAAGACUCUCUGUCUACGACUACUACAGGACACUCACACAGCCCUGGAUAAGGUGUGUGUACACGCACACACACACACACACACACACACACACACG
Molecule: long non-coding RNA, 380 nt
Organism: Etheostoma cragini (Arkansas darter)
Lineage: Eukaryota; Metazoa; Chordata; Actinopteri; Perciformes; Percidae
Exons: 3
Source: RefSeq, a predicted model, not a curated record